CAGAAGAAAGAAAACCAAAAC
RNAcentral lists this small RNA (21 nucleotides) under Arabidopsis thaliana (thale cress). RNAcentral's name for it is "ATSL246990". Lineage: Eukaryota; Viridiplantae; Streptophyta; Magnoliopsida; Brassicales; Brassicaceae. The record is from RNAcentral.